CGAAGGCUUCGGCCUUAGUGGCGCACGGGUGUGUAACGCGUGGGAAUCUGCCCUCAGGUUCGGAAUAACAGCGAGAAAUUGCUGCUAAUACCGGAUGAUAUCGCGAGAUCAAAGAUUUAUCGCCUGAGGAUGAGCCCGCGUAGGAUUAGCUAGUUGGUGUGGUAAAGGCGCACCAAGGCGACGAUCCUUAGCUGGUCUGAGAGGAUGAUCAGCCACACUGGGACUGAGACACGGCCCAGACUCCUACGGGAGGCAGCAGUGGGGAAUAUUGGACAAUGGGCGAAAGCCUGAUCCAGCAAUGCCGCGUGAGUGAUGAAGGCCUUAGGGUUGUAAAGCUCUUUUACCCGGGAUGAUAAUGACAGUACCGGGAGAAUAAGCUCCGGCUAACUCCGUGCCAGCAGCCGCGGUAAUACGGAGGGAGCUAGCGUUAUUCGGAAUUACU
RNAcentral lists this ribosomal RNA (442 nucleotides) under uncultured Sphingomonas sp. Its description in RNAcentral is "bacterial SSU rRNA". It matches the Rfam family "Bacterial small subunit ribosomal RNA", at positions 67 to 555 of the family's 1533-position model. Lineage: Bacteria; Pseudomonadati; Pseudomonadota; Alphaproteobacteria; Sphingomonadales; Sphingomonadaceae. The record is from RNAcentral.